UGGGGAAUAUUGGGCAAUGGGCGCAAGCCUGACCCAGCCAUGCCGCGUGAGUGAUGAAGGCCUUCGGGUCGUAAAGCUCUGUGGGGAGGGACGAAAAGCCGGGGAGCUAAUACCCCCCGGGUUGACGGUACUUCCUUAGCAAGCACCGGCUAACUCCGUGCCAGCAGCCGCGGUAAUACGGAGGGUGCAAACGUUGCUCGGAAUCAUUGGGCGUAAAGCGCGCGUAGGCGGCUCGCUAAGUCGAAUGUGAAAGCCCGGGGCUCAACCCCGGAAGUGCAUACGAAACUGGCGAGCUUGAGUAUGGAAGAGGGUCUCGGAAUUCCCGGUGUAGAGGUGAAAUUCGUAGAUAUCGGGAGGAACACCAGUGGCGAAGGCGGAGACCUGGGCCAAUACUGACGCUGAGGUGCGAAAGCGUGGGGAGCAAACAGGAUUAGAUACCCCCGUAGUCC
Molecule: ribosomal RNA, 449 nt
Filed under: uncultured bacterium
Lineage: Bacteria
Description: bacterial SSU rRNA
Rfam family: Bacterial small subunit ribosomal RNA
Source: RNAcentral